This 77-nucleotide transfer RNA is filed under the name Actinobacillus pleuropneumoniae. RNAcentral describes it as "tRNA-Gly(gcc)". It matches the Rfam family "tRNA". From Rfam's summary of the family: Transfer RNA (tRNA) molecules are approximately 80 nucleotides in length. Their secondary structure includes four short double-helical elements and three loops (D, anti-codon, and T loops). Lineage: Bacteria; Pseudomonadati; Pseudomonadota; Gammaproteobacteria; Pasteurellales; Pasteurellaceae. The record is from RNAcentral.
GCGGGAAUAGCUCAGUUGGUAGAGCACGACCUUGCCAAGGUCGGGGUCGCGAGUUCGAGCCUCGUUUUCCCGCUCCA